Phlebotomus papatasi is the source of this 1366-nucleotide long non-coding RNA. RefSeq lists it as uncharacterized. The transcript has 2 exons. The record is from RefSeq and is a predicted model, not a curated record. NCBI's taxonomy places the organism in Eukaryota, Metazoa, Arthropoda, Insecta, Diptera, Psychodidae.
UCGUUCGGUCGAGUUCGUAAGGAUCAGUGCGGUGACAUCACGCUUUUCUUUGGUUCUUUUUAUAACAUUUGGAAAAAUUUUUACUUAUUACACUUUAAUUUUUUAGGUAGAUUUUAUGACGAAAAAGAUUAUCAUUUCUAACUUGAACCUAUCUUGAUUAUUUUCUUUUUUUUUUUUUCUUUGGUUUGGUGGUGCCCAAAUAUUCCCUUUAGGGGAAAGUACUGUCCCUUCGAACGUUAAUGCCUUUGAAUAAUGUCAAUAUUAUGCAUGAACGUUCAAAGGGACAGUACUUUCACCUAGGUGCUUAAAUUUUCGGUUAAUAAAAGGUGAUAGAAUUAUUGCUUGAAUGGUUUUUUUUUUGGUGUUGUGUGGUUGAAAUUGGGGUGAUGCUUGCUUUGCUUUGCUUUGCUUGAUCAGUAAAUUGAUGAGCUGCAGUACCUUUUGAACUAAUUGCUUAAUGCUCGGUGUGAGGACAAAAAAGGUGAGGGAAACACAAAUGAAAUAAAUAUAACAAAAAGUAUAAUUAAUGACAAUAACCUCAACUAAUCUGGUUUUAGUAGGUAGAAAUUUUUAUCGGCCUGAAGGUGUAACGUCAAAGUUUAGUUUUUUUAAUUAUUUAUUUAUUUUUUUUUUGUUUGUUGUUUAUAUGCUGGAAAAGAAAAGAGAGAAAUGCAGAAGUAACUAACAAAGCCAUAUAGCUUUCUCAUGCAUCUGUGUUUCUUUAUGGACUAUUACGAUCUCGUGUAGAGCGUUUUCUCCGGAUGGAAACACUGGGUUUUACCUUUAAUAAUGUUUUCGUGAAUCAUUCAAAUUUUUUUUUUGUUUUUAGUUUUUAAUCUUUAGGAAACUUCUAAACAUCUUUUUAUUAUUUUGAUAUUUAUACCAGACGUGCACAAAGGGAACUGUUUGAAACUGAAUAAAACGGUUUAUUUCGGUUUCAAUGGUUCUUGCACGCUUCUGGUUUACACCAUUUUUUGGCUAAUUAAUUUUUCUAACCUAAGCCCCCUGCCCCUGCCCCAAAUGCUUUGUAAAAGCAAGGAAAAGAUGAUUAAACCAUUAAUAAAACAAAAACAUUUUGAACGUAGAGUCUCUAGAAAAAAAAAUUAUAUUAGCAAUAAUUCUGGGAAAAAAAAAGAUGUUUAGACUAAAAUUUACAACUUAAACGAUAUUAACUAACUAGGAAAAGAUAUUUUUUUUGUAACUAAAUUAAUUUUAAUAACUGAUUUCCUGCCAUUUUUUUGCCAUUUGAAAUGCACUUUAAAGACUUUAUUUUACUUCUAACAACACAUUCCAAAUGUAUUUUUUUUUUUAAAUUAAAUGUAACCAAAUAUAGAUUCCAAAUAAAGGUGAAACCAUUCAGGAACAA